Molecule: ribosomal RNA, 468 nt
Filed under: uncultured bacterium
Lineage: Bacteria
Description: partial 16S ribosomal RNA
Rfam family: Bacterial small subunit ribosomal RNA
Source: RNAcentral
GACGAACGCUGGCGGCGUGCUUAACACAUGCAAGUCGAACGGAAAGGCCCGGCGUUUGUGGGGUGCUCGAGAGGCGAACGGGUGAGUAAAACGUGAGUAACCUGCACUUGUCUGUGGGAUAACUUCAGGAAACAGGGGCGAAUACCGGAUAGGAGAUCCUGCUGCACGGGGGGGGAUGGAGAGAGUCGGCGGUGGGGGAUGGACUCGCGGGUUAUCAGCUGGUUGGUGGAGUAGGUAAUGACAAAGGGUUUGAGGGGUAGGCGGCCUGGGAGGGUGACCGGCGACAUGGGGACUGAGAUACGGCGCAGACUCCUACGGGAGGCAGCAGUGGGAAAUAUUACACAAUGGGCGGGAGCCUGAUGCAGCAGCGCCGCGUGCGGGAUGACGGCCUUCGGGUUGUAAACCGAUUUCGCCUGUGACGAAGCGUGAGUGACGGUAAUGGGUAAAGAAGCACCGGCUAACUACGUG